RNAcentral lists this ribosomal RNA (476 nucleotides) under uncultured bacterium. RNAcentral's name for it is "SSU rRNA". It matches the Rfam family "Bacterial small subunit ribosomal RNA", at positions 26 to 518 of the family's 1533-position model. The record is from RNAcentral.
AGGACGAACGCUGGCGGCGUGCUUAACACAUGCAAGUCGAGCGAGGCCCUUCCUUCGGGGAGGUGCCCUAGCGGCGAACGGGUGAGUAACACGUGGGCAACCUGCCCCUAGCACUGGGAUAACUCCGGGAAACCGGGGCUAAUACCGGAUAUGACCUUCUUGGGCAUCCUCGAAGGUGUAAAGGAUUCUGGCUAGGGAUGGGCCCGCGGCCUAUCAGCUUGUUGGUGGGGUAAUGGCCUACCAAGGCGACGACGGGUAGCCGGCCUGAGAGGGUGACCGGCCACACUGGGACUGAGACACGGCCCAGACUCCUACGGGAGGCAGCAGUGGGAAUCUUGCACAAUGGGCGAAAGCCUGAUGCAGCGACGCCGCGUGAGGGAUGACUGCCUUCGGGUUGUAAACCUCUUUCAGCAGGGACGAAGCGAAAGUGACGGUACCUGCAGAAGAAGCACCGGCAACUACGCGCCAGCAGCCGC